This 454-nucleotide ribosomal RNA is filed under the name uncultured bacterium. Its description in RNAcentral is "partial 16S ribosomal RNA". It matches the Rfam family "Bacterial small subunit ribosomal RNA", at positions 28 to 507 of the family's 1533-position model. The record is from RNAcentral.
GAUGAACGCUGACAGAAUGCUUAACACAUGCAAGUCUACUUGAACUUCGGUUUGGGUGGCGGACGGGUGAGUAACGCGUAAAGAACUUGCCUCACAGUUAGGGACAACAUUUGGAAACGAAUGCUAAUACCUGAUAUUAUGAUUUUAGGGCAUCCUAGGAUUAUGAAAGCUAUAUGUGCUGUGAGAGAGCUUUGCGUCCCAUUAGCUAGUUGGAGAGGUAACGGCUCACCAAGGCGAUGAUGGGUAGCCGGCCUGAGAGGGUGAACGGCCACAAGGGGACUGAGACACGGCCCUUACUCCUACGGGAGGCAGCAGUGGGGAAUAUUGGACAAUGGACCAAAAGUCUGAUCCAGCAAUUCUGUGUGCACGAUGACGUUUUUCGGAAUGUAAAGUGCUUUCAGUUGGGAAGAAAAAAAUGACGGUACCGACAGAAGAAGUGACGGCUAAAUACGUG